CGUGUAGGCGGCCUGCUAAGUCGGACGUGAAAUCCCUCGGCUCAACCGGGGAACUGCGUCCGAUACUGGCGAGGCUUGAAUCCGGGAGAGGGAUGUGGAAUUCCAGGUGUAGCGGCGAAAUGCGUAGAUAUCUGGAGGAACACCAGUGGCGAAGGCGGCAUCCUGGACCGGUAUUGACGCUGAGGCGCGAAAGCUAGGGUAGCAAACG
Molecule: ribosomal RNA, 208 nt
Filed under: uncultured bacterium
Lineage: Bacteria
Description: partial 16S ribosomal RNA
Rfam family: Bacterial small subunit ribosomal RNA
Source: RNAcentral